This 204-nucleotide long non-coding RNA is filed under the name Helianthus annuus (common sunflower). RNAcentral's name for it is "sRNA HanXRQr2_Chr14g0625971". The record is from RNAcentral. Lineage: Eukaryota; Viridiplantae; Streptophyta; Magnoliopsida; Asterales; Asteraceae.
AUGGAAUGGAAUGUGGGUGCUAAACGAAGGGUUGAAUUUGUUGAUGUAGGCGUGAAGGAAGAAAGUUCGAAUUCUAAGAAAGCGGAAGGAUCCCAAGACCGAGGUAAAUCCUCGAUUUAGAUGUAUGGACGGCUUGGAAUGUGCACACUUGGAUUACGCCCGCCUCACGCUUCCGUUAUUAAGUCUAUUAAAAUAGGUUAAGUU